Molecule: ribosomal RNA, 118 nt
Filed under: Neolamprologus brichardi
Lineage: Eukaryota; Metazoa; Chordata; Actinopteri; Cichliformes; Cichlidae
Source: RNAcentral
ACUCACGGCCAUACCACGCCUGUUCUCAUCUGAUCUCUGAAGCUAAGCAGGGGCGGUCCUGCAUAGUAGCGUCACCUUCACCUUGCUCCAUGUUAGAAACUCCAUGAUAUCGUGUUCC